CCUACGGGGGGCAGCAGUGGGGAAUAUUGCACAAUGGGCGCAAGCCUGAUGCAGCCAUGCCGCGUGUGUGAAGAAGGCCUUCGGGUUGUAAAGCACUUUCAGCGGGGAGGAAGGCGUUAAGGUUAAUAACCUUGGCGAUUGACGUUACCCGCAGAAGAAGCACCGGCUAACUCCGUGCCAGCAGCCGCGGUAAUACGGAGGGUGCAAGCGUUAAUCGGAAUUACUGGGCGUAAAGCGCACGCAGGCGGUCUGUCAAGUCGGAUGUGAAAUCCCCGGGCUCAACCUGGGAACUGCAUUCGAAACUGGCAGGCUAGAGUCUUGUAGAGGGGGGUAGAAUUCCAGGUGUAGCGGUGAAAUGCGUAGAGAUCUGGAGGAAUACCGGUGGCGAAGGCGGCCCCCUGGACAAAGACUGACGCUCAGGUGCGAAAGCGUGGGGAGCAAACAGAAUUAGAUACCCCAGUAGUC
Molecule: ribosomal RNA, 465 nt
Filed under: uncultured Klebsiella sp.
Lineage: Bacteria; Pseudomonadati; Pseudomonadota; Gammaproteobacteria; Enterobacterales; Enterobacteriaceae
Description: bacterial SSU rRNA
Rfam family: Bacterial small subunit ribosomal RNA
Source: RNAcentral